This 1569-nucleotide long non-coding RNA is filed under the name Oncorhynchus mykiss (rainbow trout). Its description in RNAcentral is "lncRNA (ENSOMYG00000071582.1)". Lineage: Eukaryota; Metazoa; Chordata; Actinopteri; Salmoniformes; Salmonidae. The record is from RNAcentral.
AUGCUGUGUCUGAAGAUUGUUAAAGUCGUGACCCAGACAGCCCUCCGCAUUCUCCUACCAGCGCUAGCUCGUAUCAUGGGGGUGAACCUGAGGAGUGGGGCAACCUCCCCAGAAUCACAGUGCUCUCUGACAGGGUCUGAGGAUUCCUUAGGCGGUCUGGAUGAGAGAGAGAAAAGGCUGCUGAUCAGUGAGAUGAACUACUGGACUAAGGAGAGGAGGAGUAAUGGCAGUGCAGGAUGCCGCCAAAAAUCCACUCGCAGAACCUCAUCACCAUGCUGUUCGCCUAAGAGCGUUCCAAGAGAGCAAACAAAAAGGACUGCCAUUCAGUCCAGGAACAGACUGAGAUUCCCUCUACUGAUGGACAUUGCAUAGGUAAGGAUGUUUAAGAGCUCUGCUAUAGCUUGUAGUUUUGGUUUAGGUGUGUGUUAGAAACAUAGGUAUGCCUACCAAACUCAUAGCACUUGUUAUUUUUCAACGUUACUAUUCUGCAUCUCUCUCCCCCCCAGUUGGAGAGGUUUCUCCCUCCAUAUCUCAGUCUGUCAAAAAACGAUCCUUGAUUGUCAGGGUCUUUUCAGCAAUGAUGAAGCCAUUUAGGCGCUUCACCAAGAAGAACCUGUAACCUGUUACGCUGCAUGAAGAACUACUUAUGUAACAGCAAGACUUUUGACAAGAGGAAUUUCUGCAUGUCUACCCUUUCAAAGUCUAUUUGAUCAAAUAAAUGCCAUUGAUUUUACAAGAAUUUCAAGUGUUUUGGAAGAUUGAUAAUACUAAAGCAGAUUUUCUCAGAGAAAUGCACUAGUUCCCCCUUGGUUACACAUUUAUUGUGCAGUUUUUGAGUUGGCAGGACUUGGUGCAGCAGGUAGCCUUGUGGUUAGAGCAUUGGGCCAGUAACUGAAAGGUUGCUAGGUCAGAUCCCUGAGCUAACCAUGUAAAAAUAUGACGUUCUGCUCCUGAACAAGGUAGUUAACCCACUGUUCCUAAGCUGUCAUUGUAAAUAAGAAUUUGUUCUAAACUGACUUGUCUAGUAAAAUAAAUAAAAUAACCACAGCUUGACUCUAAUACAAUAGUUGCUGCAUAGACUGUCAGAUAACCAGAUGUUCUCUAUUAAUUUAGUUAGAUUGGUAAGAGCUUAUUAGCAGCAAGGGGAAAACACAUAGAGGAGAAUUAGCUAUCUGCAGCUAGAUCAACCCUCUGAGAUGUUUUCUAUAUGUUGAAAAUAUAAGGUCCAACAGUUGACAGUGUAUGUCAGAGCAAAAACCAAGCCAUGAGGUCGAAGGAAUUGUCCAUAGAACUCAGAGACAUGAUUGUGUCAAGACACAGAUCUGGUGAAGGGUACCAAAACGUUUCUGCAAUAUUGAAGGUCCCCAAGGACACAGUGGCCUCCAUCAUUCUUAAACGGAAGAAGUCUGGAACCACCAAGACUCUUCCUAGAGCUGGCCGCCAGGCCAAACUGAGCAAUCGGGGGAGAAGGGCAGUGGAGUAUCUUCAACAGCCAUAGGCCCAGGGAUUUCACAUCACAUUCCAUGAUGCAAUGCAGAAUACGGCUUCACACAGAACAAUCACCAAACC